GGCGUUGUAAUUACCUUCCCAUUUGGGAUUGGGAAAGGUUGUUACAUGAGUGAGAGUUUUGAGGUAACUUGCAACUAUUCUUUCACACCUCCAAAGCCUUUCUUAGCUAGCAUCAACAUGGAAUUGCUGGCCGUGUUGACAAGAAGCCAAGUUCAAGUCAACAAUCCUGUAAUUUCUUCCAAUUGCAGCGACAAAACCUCUAAUAUUAGAGG
This 212-nucleotide unclassified non-coding RNA is filed under the name Hevea brasiliensis (rubber tree). Lineage: Eukaryota; Viridiplantae; Streptophyta; Magnoliopsida; Malpighiales; Euphorbiaceae. The record is from RNAcentral.